Molecule: ribosomal RNA, 781 nt
Filed under: Chlorobi bacterium SCGC AAA076-M08
Lineage: Bacteria; Pseudomonadati; Chlorobiota
Description: bacterial SSU rRNA
Rfam family: Bacterial small subunit ribosomal RNA
Source: RNAcentral
UAUCUUCGGAUAAUAGUAAAGUGGCGAACGGGUGAGUAACGCGUAAAUAACUUGCCUUGGAGAUUGGGACAACAUUGGGAAACCAGUGCUAAUACCAAAUAAUGCAGCGGGCCCUUCGGGGCAUAGUUGUUAAAGUAGGCUUCGGCUUACACUUCAAGAUAGAUUUGCGUCCGAUUAGUUAGUUGGUAGGGUAAUAGCCUACCAAGACCGAGAUCGGUAGCUGGUCUGAGAGGAUGAUCAGCCACACUGGAAUUGAGAUACGGUCCAGACUCCUACGGGAGGCAGCAGUGAGGAAUUUUGCACAAUGGGCGAAAGCCUGAUGCAGCAACACCGCGUGAUUGAUGAAGUUUUUAGGAAUGUAAAAAUCUGUCGUAAGGGAAGAAAUGUUUCGGAUGUUAAUACCAUCUGUUACUGACGGUACCUUACAAGAAAGGACCGGCUAACUUCGUGCCAGCAGCCGCGGUAAUACGAGGGGUCCUAGCGUUGUCCGGAUUUACUGGGCGUAAAGGGUACGUAGGCGUUUUAAUAAGUUGUAUGUUAAAUAUCUUAGCUUAACUAAGAAAGUGCAUACAAAACUGUUAAGAUAGAGUUUGAGAGAGGAACGCAGAAUUCAUGGUGGAGCGGUGACAUGCGUAGAUAUCAUGAGGAAAGUCAAAUGCGAAGGCAGCCUUCUGGCUCAAAACUGACGCUGAGGUACGAAAGCGUGGGGAGCGAACAGGAUUAGAUACCCUGGUAGUCCACGCCGUAAACGAUGAGUAUUUGGUGCUGGGGGAUUCGACCC